UGACCUCGGAUCAGGUAGGGAUACCCGCUGAACUUAAGCAUAUCAUAA
RNAcentral lists this ribosomal RNA (48 nucleotides) under Neoscytalidium dimidiatum. Its description in RNAcentral is "partial 28S ribosomal RNA". Lineage: Eukaryota; Fungi; Ascomycota; Dothideomycetes; Botryosphaeriales; Botryosphaeriaceae. The record is from RNAcentral. RNAcentral also lists the same sequence under 4 other names.